Molecule: transfer RNA, 74 nt
Filed under: Bacteroidota bacterium
Lineage: Bacteria; Pseudomonadati; Bacteroidota
Also listed under: 4 other names
Description: tRNA-Ala
Rfam family: tRNA
About the family: Transfer RNA (tRNA) molecules are approximately 80 nucleotides in length. Their secondary structure includes four short double-helical elements and three loops (D, anti-codon, and T loops).
Source: RNAcentral
GGGGCCAUAGCUCAGCUGGCUAGAGUGCUUGACUGGCAGUCAAGAGGUCGAGGGUUCGACUCCCUCUGGCUCCA